GCCGACCAUUGCAUUCUUUGAUCAUUCCUUCUAAUGUUACAGAACUUCGUGUACAAAAUACUUAGAAUGUGAGUUAAAACUCGAAAUAUAUGGCAGAGGACUCUUAAAAAUCCACAAAUACAAUUAUUUAUUUUCUAAUCCUUCCACUUAUUCAUCAAUGGAGUUGGAAGUGCUGGAAAGUGCAAAAGGAUUUUGUGCAGACGUGGUUUUUUUAAGUAGCGAAACAUCCAAUAAGGCAUUUGAUUUAACGAUCACCCAAGGUGAAAAACGUUUGCAACAUUAUGCCCUGAAUGCUAGCAGUGAAAUAAAAAACAAAUGGGUCACGAGGAGGUUUGAAAACAAGACGUUGACACUGGUUGGCAAAUGGAAACUGAAGUUGACAGCAGGCCCAGGCAGAAUCAGAAUUGGCGGAAUCAAAUUCUGUGCAGGAGGCGAUUCAAUGGUGAAACCAAAAGGGAAGAACAUGGAAAGCUGUCAUUUGUUGGCGGAGAGUGAACAAAAUUUGACCACGAAGGAAAGAUUGUUAGAAGUCGCCAGCAAUUCGGCCGUGUGUCAUGCGCUUGGAGAGAAUUGUUCCACAUUAAAAGCGUGCCGAGAAAACGGAGAGUGUGUUUACUUCACUGACUCAACAAGUAAGGAUAGCGAUAGUAAAACAACAACAAGUACAACAAAACCCCCACCACCACCAUCAGAAACAACUAUCACAACUAAACCAACAUCAACAACAAAAACGACAACAUCAACAACUACUUUUCAAGAGCCAAUCAGUAGCGACACAGGCUCAAAUUUGAGCCGUAAUAUAUCCUGCGAUGCCGAAGCCAAUAAAAAUUUCCGCGAUAUGAUUAUACUGACUAUACUGGCCACAAGCUGGAACAUCGGAAGCUACAUCUUCCUCGCGUUUCAGCUUUUCUAUUUCAGAUAAUAUAUGAGAGGGCUUGAUGGCUCGAUCCAUUUGAACCAACGCAGGUUAACAUUGUCGACGCCCUCUCCACAGCAAGAACACGCUGUGGCCAAAACCUUCUUUCCGAGAAUUUUCGCUCCCUGACCUCAGGGUUGAAAUAAUUAUUCUCAUAUUUAUUCAUUAACACCAGAUUGUCAUCAUUAUUUCUAACCAUUAUACUUAUAUCUAUAAAUAGUAUCUAAAUUAGAUAUAUUUAAAUCUAAAAUUUUAAAUAUAAAUAAGCAAUAUUGGAAACAAUGAACAUACCAUAAAUUAAAAAAAAAUGAAUGAUCAGUUGAGUGAGACUUCAGAUAUAUAGCGGAUUUUCUGAACCUGUUUAGCUUUUAAAAAUAUUAUAAAACAAUACUUUAGUACAUUAUUUAUGGCUUGGAGAAAAAUGUCACUAGAAAGGGACAUUGCUUUUGUGUGUAAUCUAUAAUGAAAAGGACAUUACAAAUUUUAUAAAAGCACGGAGAAAAUGUUUUAUUUUGUCAUGCAAUGCUUCCCACUUCGAUUGUUACUCACAAUCUGGCAC
Long non-coding RNA from Cloeon dipterum, 1475 nucleotides. RefSeq lists it as uncharacterized. NCBI's taxonomy places the organism in Eukaryota, Metazoa, Arthropoda, Insecta, Ephemeroptera, Baetidae. The transcript has 4 exons. The record is from RefSeq and is a predicted model, not a curated record.